AGGCAGAAGGCUGUGAUGGGGAAAGGAGCACAUGGACAGGCAUUAAGCAUCUGGAAGAGGCUCUGGGAGGGUCCAAACAACAAACCACGCGGCGUUCUCUGGUGGCUGUGCUGGGACGAGUGGGCGGAAACAGCCGCAGGUCUCUCUCUUCUCUUCAGCCUGAAACUCACUGCACAAAUACCAGAGGUUUUUUUUAGAGAUUAGAUAAAUUUGCAUCCUUCUCCCCCCAACCCCGCCCCUAAGCCAGAGGAAGUGCUUGAGGAAGUAAUGUGUUUAAAGAAUGUGGGGGAGGGGAGCUUACAUUAGGAAGCAGGACUCUUAGCGUGUAGCCAGAAACCCCAAUAACCUUUAAGCUGUUAACCCUUGAGGAUACGGCUCAAUGGUGUACCCACGUGGAGUUCAUUAUUUAUCUCCGAAAGCCCUGUCUGUCUCUCAUUCCGACCCUUAAACGAAUCAUCUGCAGUUUGGCCAACAAUUCAGUUCCAGCUCCCUGGGAAUACCAGCAAAUCCCGGGACAGCUGUUCCUUCUGCUGAAAACACCAGGAAAAUCCGCCCAGGAGCUCAGGCUGUUUGACCAGAAAGCCUGGUGUUGGUCACUGUCAGAGAGCACGAACAGAGGGAAGAGGAGGUCCUUGGCUGGGUCCUUCAUUUUUUUCUUUUUUUUUUUUUUUUUUUUUUUUUGUCCUUGGGAGCUUGGAUGAGCUUGUCUUUGAUGCCUUAAUUGUUUCUGCACUCUUUUCUCCCUUUCAUAAAUCCAUUGAAACGAUAUAUAUAUUUAAGAGUAAGGCAAACCUCAAAUUAGGCUGUCUGUAGAACUGAGCCUCUGCAAAGAGAGUAAUUAAAUUAUUGGCAUGAAACGGCAGGAACCCUGGAGGGGACGGCAGGGAGAAGGCACUAGUAAAAGUGGAAGGAAACUACUUGGGAAGAUAUUGGUGCCUGUGCUGGGGAAUGACAUAUACCCAAACCAUUUCUCAUCAGACUUGAAAAUACCGUAUACAUCUGUGUAUGUCAGCGGAUGUGCGGCAGAUUCCCCUGCCCCACUGGUCUGUCUGAAUGUUCUGUCUCUGUUUAGCCUGGGUGAGAUGGAGGAGGAUUCCCUCUUAGGGGCUUGCCACGCCACCCCUCCUCCACAGUGUGGAAAUAAAAAUCUUGAGUUCCUUUAAGGAAAAUUGCAGGCACCUAGCUAUCCCUGAGAAAUUAAUGAGCAACUUCAUAAGUAAAAAGGUAAUCAUACCAUAAAACAAUAGCAAUAAAAUUAGAGCCAUGAGAUGUUUGGUUCCCUAUAGAAACUGAAGAUACAUCUUAACAUAUGUUCCUGAGUUAUUUUUCAGAAACCCAGACCUCUACCAAAUGGAUCUGCUGGCACGCAGACCUCAGAAAAGGGGAAACUGAGGACUGAACUCUGACUGCUAUUUCUUGUUCUGCAUUUUUUCUUGAAGGACCUGAAGGAAGUCACGCCCAUGGGCCAGACCUAACGUUCUUUAAUGCUGACUCUCAAUUUUUAAAUAGAGCUUCCCUUCCUUAACCAACUGCAAAUCAGAAAAUUGUUGAAUCCCCUACCCCGUGACCUGUAAGCCCCUGCUUCAAGAUAUCCUGUGUGUUAAGGUCAAACCAAUAUGUAGCCUCCAUGUAUUGACUUAUGACUUUGUGUGUAACCUCUGCCUGCCUGCCUUUAGAAACCCUUGCUUGCAAGCCACUGGGAAGGUCAGGUGAGCUGCCUGAUUCUCCUUGCUGGGUGCCCUGAAAAUAAACACCCUCCUUUCUCUCACUACAAAACCUCAGUUUGAAUGUUUGGCUUCACUGCCCUGGAGGCACAGACCUCAGUUCAGUUGGGCAACAUGGGUCUCGGGGUGCUGAAAGCCACUUUUUAUUUUCAUUAGGGACUUGCUCAUGCCAAACAUCCUGAAUUUAAGUAGAACUUACUAGGUUUGGGGUGUUUGUGGGAUGGGGUCCCCUUGUGGAGCCCUGAGCCUUCUGCCAUCCCCUAUCUCUGGUCCCCACUAAUUUUUUUUUUUUUUUUUUGAGAUGACAUUUUGCUCUGUCACCCAGUCUGGAAUGCAGUGGCACAAUUUCAACUGACUGCAACCUCCACGUCUCAGGUUCAAGCCAUUCUCCUGCCUAGCCUCCCAAGUAGCUAGGAUUACAGGCAUGUGCCAUCACACCCGUAAUGUUUGUAUUUUUAGUAGAGAUGGGAUUUCAUCACAUUGGCCAGGCUGGUCUCAAACUCCUGACCUCAAGUGAUCCACCUGCCUUGGCCUCCCAAAAUGCUGAGAUUACAGGCAUGAGCCACCCCAUGCCUGGCCCCUCUGGUUCUCACUAAUUCUAACCUGGAUUGGCUCCUUUGUGCUCCAAUUCUUUCCCUGCUUCAAUGCAAAGGUUUCACUUUCCUUUGAGGCCUUACUGUACAGGCCAACAUCCCGGAGGUGUCAGCCUCUGUCCCCAGUUGACUUUCACAAGCCCACCAAGCACUUGGCAAAAUAAAGGCCUUCCUGUUAACACCAUCUGGUGUUAGGGUACACUGGGUAGCAAAAAUGUGUCCCUUCUGCAUACAUAAUCCACAUAUCCCCAAGCUUUCUCUGUCCACGGUAAUGGCUUGAGCCUCCACUCCUGUGGCCCUUCAGCAAAUCCAGUCCUCUCACCUCCCCAUAUUUUUAAGGGUCCCUUAGGGAGGGGCCAGUUACCUAUUGUCUUACUCUAGAAGUCAUUGCUUGGGUCCUCUUGCAGGUUAACUCUGGCCUUUUGGCAGCUCCUAAUCUGUGCCGCAGAGCUGCCCUCAGCUCAGCCUCUCUGCAGCAGGGUGGGUACAGGAGCCCCCUUCCCACUCCCUGGAGAAUGGUGAACAUUCUCACUACUGAUCGUCUCUGCCUCCACCCUUGCCUGCUCCUGCCCUGCCCUGGAGCUCACCUCCUGGCCCAGAAUCUCUUGCUCCCUGUGAUGGUUAAUAAUGUCAAUUUGAUUGGAUUGAAGGAUGCAAGUAUUGAUCCUGGGUGUGUCUCUGAAGGUGUUGCCAAAGGAGAGUAACAUUUGAGUCAGUGGGCUGAGGAAGGCAGACCCACCCUUAAUCUGGGUGGGCACUAUCUAAUCAGCUGCCAGUGUGGCCAGGAUAUAAAGCAGGCAGAAAAACAUGAAAAAGCUAGAUUGGCUUAGCCUCCCAGCCUACAUGUUUCUCAUGUGCUGGAUGCUUCCUGCCCUCAAACAUCAGACAAGUUCUUCAGCUUUGGAACUUGGACUGGCUUCCUUGCUCCUCAGCUUGCAGAUGGCCUAUUGUGGGACUCUGUGAUCCUCUAAGCUAAUACUACUUAAUAAACUCCCCUUUAUAUAUAUCUAUCUAUCCUAUUAGUUCUGUCCCUCUAGAGAACCCUG
This 3363-nucleotide long non-coding RNA is filed under the name Homo sapiens (human). RNAcentral's name for it is "non-protein coding lnc-HMBOX1-5:4". Lineage: Eukaryota; Metazoa; Chordata; Mammalia; Primates; Hominidae. The record is from RNAcentral.